RNAcentral lists this ribosomal RNA (253 nucleotides) under uncultured bacterium. Its description in RNAcentral is "partial 16S ribosomal RNA". It matches the Rfam family "Bacterial small subunit ribosomal RNA", at positions 524 to 776 of the family's 1533-position model. The record is from RNAcentral.
UACAGAGGGUGCAAGCGUUAAUCGGAGUUACUGGGCGUAAAGGGCGCGUAGGCGGUCAUGUAAGUUGGAUGUGAAAUCCCUGGGCUUAACCUAGGAACUGCAUCCAAAACUGUAUGGCUAGAGUGCGGUAGAGGGUAGUGGAAUUUCCGGUGUAGCGGUGAAAUGCGUAGAUAUCGGAAGGAACACCAGUGGCGAAGGCGGCUACCUGGACUGACACUGACGCUGAGGCGCGAGAGCGUGGGGAGCAAACAGG